RNAcentral lists this ribosomal RNA (448 nucleotides) under uncultured bacterium. RNAcentral's name for it is "bacterial SSU rRNA". It matches the Rfam family "Bacterial small subunit ribosomal RNA", at positions 330 to 792 of the family's 1533-position model. The record is from RNAcentral.
UCCAGACUCCUACGGGAGGCAGCAGUGGGGAAUAUUGGACAAUGGGGGGAACCCUGAUCCAGCGACGCCGCGUGAGUGAAGAAGUAUUUCGGUAUGUAAAGCUCUAUCAGCAGGGAAGAAAGAAAUGACGGUACCUGAGUAAGAAGCACCGGCUAAAUACGUGCCAGCAGCCGCGGUAAUACGUAUGGUGCAAGCGUUAUCCGGAUUUACUGGGUGUAAAGGGAGCGCAGGUGGCACGGCAAGCCUGAUGUGAAAGCCCGCGGCCCAACCGCGGGACUGCAUUGGGAACUACCGGGCUGGAGUGCCGGAGAGGUAGGCGGAAUUCCUAGUGUAGCGGUGAAAUGCGUAGAUAUUAGGAGGAACACCAGUGGCGAAGGCGGCCUACUGGACGGUGACUGACGCUGAGGCUCGAAAGCGUGGGGAGCAAACAGGAUUAGAUACCCGCGUA